AUCAUUCCUGCCUUUCAUCUUCAGCUCCCAAAAUAAUACAUAUCGACUGGCAUCAACGAAGUGUCAGCAUAGCUACUAUAUGUGGUUAACAUGAUGCCGAGUGGUUCAAGGACAAGUUUUGCUUUCAUGAUUGCUUUCGAAAGGUCUUCUUCAGUUGUUUUGUCCAAAUCAAUACUCAACACCACAUUUUAUCGUUCAACAAAUUGAAACUGUGGAGAUUUAUUAUAGAAUCCGGUCACCUUGAGAACAUCUCUGAUUCUGUACCGGUAUAGACCUGAAAAGGAGGAUUACAACACAUUUAGGUGCAUACAACUUGUAGCUUUGAUGCCGAGUUGAAGAAACCUUACCUGUCAAAGUUGUGAAAACAACUUCGUAAUAUUGAUCAAGCUUCACAUUCACAAGAUCGACCGGUUUGUCAAUUGUCCUAGUUUCUUGAGCCUUUCCUCCACCAUCUUUAUUCACAGGGAGAAAUUCAAAGUAGGCCGUAUUUGGGAGAAAGGUGUAAGAGACAUCAAAGGGCUUGCUUAGUGUUGAAACAAAGACAGCAGCAACCAAACAAUGAAACACUAAGAGCAUAAGCUCUCGAACAGCAAGCAGAAAAGAAAACAGAACAGAAAACUCAAAAGCAAAAAUGUAACUGAAUGGAAUGCUUUUACUUUUCAUUUCAUUUGAAAAUAUAAGAGUUACAAAAUUAGAAUGUCAGUUACCUAAACUAGUAACUGCUCCCACCUAUUUUGGCAAGUUGCCAACUAAAGUAAUACAAAAGAAAGCUGAACAAUUUUUAGCCAUUACAUCCAUCAAUUCAAAUCUUAACAACUCUAAAAGUCUAGUUACAUUUAGCUUGGAUGGCAUUACAAAAUGAACAAAAAGUAAACAAAAUAAUUAAGCUACUUCUGGUCCUGCUUGAAUGCUGGUCUGCAUCAUGGCCUUCUGUUGCAUUGCAGUCCAUGCUCAACACUCCUCCUUGGACUGUAGGCAACAAACACCAAUCGAAUCUCGUAAGAAUUCAAACCUGAUUGUUCCAAGAGGAUUUGUCAAAAUGUCAGCCAAUUGAUCUUGUGAACUACAAUAUGCAAGAUUCACAUCCUUUGAUUGUACUGCCUCUCGAACAAAAUAAAAUUUGAGCUUAAAGUGCUUCGUUUUGCCAUGAAAAACAGCAUUCUUAGAGAUAGCUAUUGCUGAUUGAUUAUCAACCAUAAUCUCAGUAGGCUCAAAUUGUUCCUCAUUCAAAUCACACAACAAUUUUCUAAGCCAAAUAGCUUGGCUUACUGCUCCAGCUGCUGCUAUGUACUCUGCCUCAGCAGUUGAUUGAGCAACUGUUUGUUGCUUUUUAGAGCUCCAACAGAAAGCCCCUGAACCAAGAGAAAAGAGGUAGCCUGAGGUACUCCUCAUAUCAUCAAUCGAACCUCCCCAGUCACUGUCUGAGUAGCCAGAUAACUUCAGCUGACCUCCUGUCUUGAACAUCACUCCAAACUUCAAGGCUCCUUUCACAUACCUGAGGAUUCUCUUUGCAGCCUUUAAAUGUGAUGUGUUGCAGCUAUGCAUAAAAUGAGAUAGCAAACUGACCGAAUGCAUAAGGUCAGGUCUAGUUGCUGUCAAGUAUAGCAAACAUCCAAUUAGACUUCUAUACUCUCUUUCAUCCACCUUUUCUUCAUCUCCAUAGCUGCUCAACUUCUGUCCCAUGACUAGAGGUGUACUCACUGGCUUGCAAUUUUCCAUACGAAACUUAGUGAGAAUUUUCAAGGCAAAUGCAUGCUGACCGAUAAAAAUGCCUUGAUCAGACUGGUCUACUUCCAUACCAAGGAAGUAAGUCAUGAUUCCCAAGUCUGUCAUGUCAAACAUGUCUUGCAUAUUCUUCUUGAACUCCUGAAUCAAAUCGACCCUGCUUCCAGUCACUAAUAGAUCAUCCACAUAUAUUGAGACAAUCAGCAAAGUCUCAUCUUUAGACUUCUUUAUAAACAAAGUUGGCUCACUCAAACUUUUCUCGAAAUUGAGCCUAGUCAGAUAAGCAUCUAUCCUGUUAUACCAGGCUCGAGGAGCCUGUUUUAGUCCAUAGAGUGCCUUCUUCAGCUUGUAAACUUGUCCUCCUUUCCUUGGACUUUAAAUCCAUCAGGCUGUUCAACAUAAAUUUCCUCUUUAAGGAAGCCAUUCAGGAAAGCUGACUUGACAUCAAGCUGAUGGACCUUCCACUGUUUCUGUGCAGCGAAAGCAAAUAGAAGCUUUAUGGUAUCCAGCCUUGCCACUAGAGCAAAUGUCUCCUCAAAAUCAAUGCCAAACUGUUGAUUGUACCCUUUCACCACAAGCCUUGCCUUGUGCUUGUUCAGAGAGCCAUCUGCAUUGAAUUUGGUCCUGAAAACCCACUUGACACCUAUGACCUUCUUCUGAUCAGGUCUGUCUACCAGAUCCCAAGUGUCAUUCUUAUGGAUCAUGUCAAUUUCAGCCUCCAUAGCCUUCUUCCAGCUCUUGCUGCUUGCAACUUCUUCAUAGCUUGAAGGCUCAACAAUGGCCACAUUGCAUCUUUGGUAGAUAUCAGCAAUAGACCUGGUCCCUCUCACAGGAGCAUCAUCUACAUUGGCAUUACUGACUUUAUUUUCUGCCAUUUCCAGAUUGCUGUCAAUCUGCUCUUCUUCAAACUGACUUGUGUUAGAGCCAUCUAGACUCCAAAACCUUCCUUUAUCGAAUUUGACAUCCCUGCUUACCAAAAUCUUCUUGGUUGAAGGAUCAAAUACUCUGUAGCCCUUCUUGCAGCUACUGUAGCCAACAAAUAUACCAGGAACUGACCUCUUCUCGAGCUUGGUUCUUCUUUCUGCAGGGACAAGUACAAAACACUUGCACCCAAACACUUUUAAAUGGGAAAUAGUUGGUUUAAGAUCAUACCAUGCUUCAAAAGGAGUUUUAUCAUUCACAGCAUGUGUUGGCAGCCUAUUGAACAGGUACACUGAGGUGUUGACACCUUCAGCCCAAAAAAUGCUUAGAAGCUUGCUUUGAAACAACAUACACCUGGUCAUGUUCAUCACUGUUCUGUUCUUCCUCUCACACACUCCAUUUUGCUGAGGAGUGUACACUGUGGUUAACUGAUGAUGAAUCCCAGCCUGCUCACAUAGCUUCUGAAAUCUUUCAGACAAGUAUUCAGAACCAUUGUCUGUCCUCAAGGCCUUAAUCCUGCAGCCUGUUUGAUUUUCUGCCAAUGCCUUGAACUUUCCAAAAACUUCAAACACUUCUGAUUUCUGUUUCAUGAAAUAAACCCAGCAAAAUCUGGUCAGAUCAUCAAUAAACAGUAUAAAAUACUUACUGCCAUUCAGUGAAGGGGUCUUCAUUGGUCCACAGACAUCUGAGUGCACCAACUCAAGUCUUUCUCGAGCCCUCCAUGCUUGGUUAGCUGAAAAGGGCAACCUGGCUUGUUUGCCAAGCUGACACACCUCACAAACACCUUCACUUGCACUAACCUUCACCAUGUCCUCUGUCAUGUUCAUUUUGUGCAGCAAAUCAAGUGAUUUGAGGUUAACAUGGCCAAACCUCUUGUGCCAAAGAUCAGUAUUGUCAACUGAGCUUGUAUAUGCACUUUUCUCAAGCUGACUCACAUCCAGCAUAAAACAUUUGUCUCCCAUAGGUGCUGAGACAAUCUCCCUACCAUGAGCAUCACUUAUAACACAAGAAUCAUUCUUGAAAACUAGUGAAAAGCCUUUCUUGACUAGCUGGCCUACACUGAGUAAAUUUUGGUCUAUUUCUGGCACAUAGAGCACAUCAGAAAUGAUUUUGUUACUUGAACCAGUGUGAAUCACCACAUCACCUCUACCUUUUGCUUCAAUCAAGUUGCCAUUGCCUAUCCUGACCUUCGAGACAUAGCUCCUGUCAAGGUUCUUGAAAAGGCUCUCAUCUGCAGCCAUGUCGUGUGAGCAGCCACUAUCCACAAGCCAACUGCUCUUGCUGUUAGCUGCAAAACAUGAAGCUGUAAAUGCAUGCUCCUCCUGAGCUUGGACAUCCUCGGCAGACUUGGCAUGUACUGGUUGUGCUUGUGCCUUCUCAUGACUUCUACAGAUUUUCUCAUGAUGACCAUACUUCUUACAGCUUUUGCACUGUAUAUCUGGUCUGGUCCAGCAAAAUUUUUCCAGGUGAUUGGUCUUCUUGCAGUGAAUGCAUGGUGGAAACCUCCUUCUACCGGCAUCUUUCGUUGAUCUUUCCCUCUUUUCAAACCAAGGCUUCUUAGCUUUCUGGCUUGAGCUAGAGCCUUCUCUGACCUUUGCUUGAAAAGCACCUUCAAGACUCUCCUCCUGCCUACUUGCUCUUCUCUACUCAAGUGCAUAGAGUGAGUUAACCAACUCAGACAAAGAAAUGGUUGUGAGAUCUCUCGAGUCCUCCAAUGAGGAGAUUUUUGACUCAAACCUUUUAGGUAAGGUGGUAAUAACCUUCUCAACAACCCUGCUAUCACUGAAAUCUUCUCCAAUGAGUCUAAUAUUAUUGACAGUAGCCAUAAUCCUAUCAGAAUAUUGCUUGAUAGUUUCUGACUCCUUCAUCUUCAAAUUUUCAAACUCCCUUCUAAGGUUGAUGACUUGUUGCUGCCUGGUCUUGUCUGAUCCCAUAAAUUCCUCUUUCAGCCUGUCCCAUGCCUGCUUGGGAGAGUCACAGGCCAUGAUACGAGUGAAAAUAACAUUUGAUAUUCCAUUCUGCAAACAGGCCAUAGCUUUGUGUUUCUUGGCUCGUUCCUCACCAUGUUGCCUGAUCUGAGCAAUGGUAGGAUUUGCUCUUAAUGGUGCUGGCUCGACAUCACUCUCAACUGCACUCCAGAGGUCAAGUUCUUGAAGAUAUGUCUUUAUUUUGACAACCCAAAUGUGGUAGUUGUCUCCAGCAAAAACUGGUGGUGGAGGAGGAGCAAAACUCAUGCUGCCAAGACUGACUUUGAAAACACAAAAAAACUGACUUUUCUUUGAAAAAACUAAAACAUAAACAACAGAGGUCCUCAAAGAUAGGAGGCUCUAAUUACCAUUUGUUGAAACAAAGACAGCAGCAACCAAACAAUGAAACACUAAGAGCAUAAGCUCUCGAACAGCAAGCAGAAAAGAAAACAGAACAGAAAACUCAAAAGCAAAAAUGUAACUGAAUGAAUGCUUUUACUUUUCAUUUCAUUUGAAAAUAUAAGAGUUACAAAAUUAGAAUGUCAGUUACCUAAACUUGUAACUGCUCCCACCUAUUUUGGCAAGUUGCCAACUAAAGUAAUACAAAAGAAAGCUGAACAAUUUUUAGCCAUUACAUCCAUCAAUUCAAAUCUUAACAACUCUAAAAGUCUAGUUACAUUUAGCUUGGAUGGCAUUACAAAAUGAACAAAAAGUAAACAAAAUAAUUAAGCUACUUCUGGUCCUGCUUGAAUGCUGGUCUGCAUCAUGGCCUUCUGUUGCAUUGCAGUCCAUGCUCAACACUUAGGGGUUUUAAAUUGAUCCCGAAGCAAGCUUCCGAAGAACUAUAAUUUGGUGAAACUAAAGAGAUCCCUCCUCCAUAAAAUUCAAGUAAUGGAAUAUAUUGGCUCAUGCUACCUGUACAGUUAGAACUAAUAUAUUUGAUUUUAGGCCAAAGUUUCUUAAUGAUCCCUUCCCAUGAUUUAUCUUCACAUAUUUGUUGAAUCAAAUCAGUCAUUUCAGGGUUUGGCCUAGUAAGGAUCAAUGACAUAGCAUUUCUGCAACCAGCAUCAGUAAUCCAAUCACUGAGAUAACCUGUUCUAAUGUUGGAACAUAAUUCUUUCCAAUAAUCAUCUAAGAAUUUGAUGCUCCUUGGCAAAACUGAUGCAAAGCUUGAACCCAUACGUACGACCUCAUCGCGCUGUAGUAAACCAGUAAGCAAUUGGCAGAACAUACUUUGCUCGUUGUCCGAACAUAAGAUGGCCUCAAUAGGACUUGCGCAAAACUUCGCCAGGCCCGUUUUGAAGCUUUUGGUCUUGAAAUAGAAUGUUGUGUAUAGUGAUGCCACUAAUCCAGAUGGAGUUUCCAUCUCUGGUUUGAUAAAAUAUAGGUACAAUGAUUUUCCUUCGUCCGAGCCAUUAAAACAUCUGCCAAGAAAAAGGAAAAGAAACAUUAAUUAGUUGUUUGUUUGAUUACGUGUAUUACGAUUGUGGAUCUAAUAGUUAUUGCAUCGAAUAGCAAAUUACGACCGCUAUCGGAACUUCACUGUAAUGACAGCUAUUUAAAUGUACUUAUCUUUUUAUCACGAGGUCAGCCAGAAGAGGUUUAUUCAUCCUUUUCUCAAAACUUUCAGCUGUCAUAGGUAUCAAUUUCGGCUGCCCCUCAGAAGUACCAGUGCUUUGGAUGAACUGGGUGAUGCGAUAAGCCAAAAGGAUCGAUGGGGUCUCUUCGUUAGCAAUCCGAUCGAUGUAAGGCUUGAUAUCUUCGUAAGUAAUAAUGGGGACAUUUGUUUUGAAGCUUUGCUUGUCCGCUUGGCCAUUGGGGAAGAAUCUGCUUAGAUAUUCUGUUCCUGCAUUGCUCUUUAGUAUCUCCUCCAUCACUUGUUCUUGUAGUUUAUGAGUAUUGCUGGUUAAAUCUUCCAAAAUGUUCAUGACAUUUUCAUAUAUUUCCUUUAUGUCUGUCUCACCAUCCAUCACAGUUAUGGGGAGAGUGAGAAGAACAAAGAAGAAACGAGAGAGGAAAGCUUGAAGGAAUUGAAAAAAGAAAAUUUAAGAACAAAUUAAUUUGUUUCGUACUUGUAAUAGAUCUAGAUUGCGUCCAUCAAAAGUAAGCUGCCUUUCCACUGUUUUCUAUAAGCAUUUUAAAAAAAAAAAAAUUGUAUAUAACAGAUACAUAUAAAAACAAUACUCUUAAAAUAAUGUAAUAUACUUUAUAAAAUAAAAAUAUUUUAAUCAUUAUCGAGUUGUGCCUAUUAAAAUGUGAAAUCAACUUAGUUAAAAGUUUAUAAUAUAUAAUAUAGACUGAUUAUAAUUAUAAGACCAUUAAUGCACAUUUAAUUGAUUCAUAUUAUUUAUAUAUAAAAUAUUUACAAAGAAUUGAAUAAUUUCAUUUUGAAAUUUUAAGAAAAAUAAAAUAAUGAAAUUUAAUAUUUUAAUAAUCUUUUUUUUAACCUUUUUAUUUAAAAACAAUAUACUAUUUUUAAUUAUAAUAAAAAUAUUUCUUUAAUAUUCUUCAUGUCUAUUUUAUGUUUUGUAUUCAAAGUUCGUGACUAUUCUUUUAAAAAUAUAAUAUGUCUUACUAUUGUACACUAAAACUUAUUAAUAAUAUAUAAUUUUAUAUUAAUACUUAUAUAUUUAAAUUUAAAUAAAAUUUUAAAAUAUUUAAUUUAAAUUUAUAUCAAAUUUAAAUUUAAAAUCUAAAAAUCUUUAUUCAAAUUUGAGUCCGAGAAUGCAUAAUAUAUGUCCCAUUGGCAUGGGAGAAGUAUUAAAAGAAUUAUUUAUGGGUUAUUACCUCUCAAUCUUGAUCCAAGUUUGUUAGGAUUUCGACCCGAUUGAGCAACGAACAAGAAAAUAGCGAAAUAAAUUGAGAAAUUGAACACACAAAUUUAACGUGGAAAAAUCCCUCCAAAGAGGAUAAAAAACCACGGGCAAAGAUAAUUUUACUAUAAUGGAAAAAGAACGAAGAGUACAAAAAGAUGGUGAUAAAAACUAAACCCCAAAAACCCGAAAACAAAGAACCCACAAAACGUAAACACAAAAUUCUCUAAAUGUGUUAUGAGUUCUAAUCUCUAAUGGGUGUAUAUUCUAAGGUUAUAAAAGAGCCUAUUUAUAGGCUAAAUUCAUAGAUCAAAUAAUAAUAAAAAUAAUCUAAACUAAUCAGUGUUUGAUUGAAACAAGUAAACAGAGUUUAACUGAAAGAUUAUUUUUCAAAUUUGAUUGAAAAUAGGAGUCAUAUUUAACAAAUCUCCACCUUGACUCAUAUUUUCACAACGCCAUCUUUGCCAAAGCCCGCCACGAGCCUAUCUUGAACUAUGCAGGGAAUUAACUGAGUCGAAUUUGUGCUUAGAAACUGGAAGACUUCUAGCCUUCGACUUGUACACUGCCAAAUCAAAACUAACCCGGGUUUGAUUUUCACGAACACAGUGCCCUAACUUUUCAAAACCUGCAUCCAAAAGAGAAUCUCUCUUCAACGAAACGGUCAUACCUUUUUCCCUCCUAUGACCAAGUUGCCUCCGCUCCAAACGAGUUGACUUCGACUCUGUAACAGACAAGGGACUUCCAAUUUCAUCGGUCACUGUAAAACCUUCCAGAAUAUAAAGACUGCCGGUUCUUUUACUUUUUAACAAAACAAGAGCUCUACGAGAUACUUUAAUGCCGCUCGACUUGAUGUUGAUUCUGCAUCCUUUCAAGUCUAAAAUACUCAAAGAGAUGAGAUUCUUUCGUAAAUCAGGUACAUACCUGACAUCUGAGAGUGUCCUAAUUGUCCCAUCGUGCAUCUUAAUUUUAAUAGUACCAAUACCAAUUACCUUACUAGAUGAAUCGUUUCCCAUGCGUACAACUCCACCUUCAACUGAACUGUAUGUGGAGAACCAUUCUCUAUUGGGACACAUAUGGAAAGAACAUCUUGAAUCUAGGAUCCACUCAGGCAUGAGCUUGGAGUUAUCGCUCAUUGAAACUAAUAAGAAAUCAUCACCAUUUUCAUCGGCCAAAUUAGAACCAGCUACAUCUUCCUCGUUACUCUCAGCAGCUCUUUUAUUUCGCAGUUUAUAACAAUCUGCUUUGAUGUGACCUAACUUUUUAUAAUAGUGACACCUUUUGUCUCGUUUCUUUGAUGCUACCAAAACGGAAGCUUGCCUAUCUGCUUUGCUAUCCAAAUGAAGGUCAUUGUCGAGUUUGUCUCUACUCAACAAAUGACCCUUCACAUCUUCGAACGAGAGUUUGUCUCUGCCAUAAAUCAGGGUCUUCCUGAAAGACUUGUAUGAAGGGGGUAAAGAGCACAAUAAUAGCAUAGCUUGAUCUUCAUCAUCAAUAUGAACCUCAACGUUCUUUAAGUUAUUUAAAAGAGCAAUGAAUUGACUGCUGUGAUCUCUAAGAAGCUCACCUUCGUUCAUGCAAAACGUAAAUAGACGUUGUUUCAACAUUAAACGGUUAGCCAGAGACUUAGUCGCAUAAAGAGUUUCUAACCUUUUCCACAAGGCGGAUGAGGUUUCUUCAUCAAUACCUCCUACAAUACCAUAUUCGCGAGGCACAACUGGAUUGCAGACAAAGCCUUUUCAUCAAGCUCUUCCCAUUCUGUUUUAUUUAGAUUCUCAGGCUUUUUCUCGGUAACAACCUUUUUCAAGCUUGAUUGAACUAAAAUUGCCAUCAUCUGAACUUGCCACAGAUUGAAAAUUGUCUCACCAUCGAACUUCUCAAUUUCAAACCAUGUUGUUGCCAUCUCUGAAGGGGCUGAUCUAUGAAAAUUGAACUAGCUCUGAUACCACUUCUUAGGAUUUCGACCCGAUUGAGCAACGAACAAGAAAAUAGCAGAAUAAAUUGGAAAAUUGAACACACAAAUUUAACGUGGAAAAACUCCUCCAAAGAGGAUAAAAAACCAUGGGCAAAGAUAAUUUUACUAUAAUGGCAAAAGAACGUAGAGCACAAAAAGAUAGAGAUAAAAAUUAAACCCCGAAAACCCGAAAACAAAGAACUCACAAAACGUAAACACAAAAUUCUCUAAAUGUGUUAUGAGUUCUAAUCUCUAAUGGGUGUAUAUUCUAAUGUUAUAAAAGAGCCUAUUUAUAGGCUAAAUUCAUAGAUCAAAUAACAAUAAAAUAAUCUAAACUAAUCAGUGUUUGAUUAAAACAAGUAAACAGAGUUUAACUGAAAGAUUAUUUUUUAAAUUUGACUGAAAAUAGGAGUCAUAUUUAACAAAGUUGAAAUAAACUAUGAUGCAAAUUAAUCAUUGUAUUUUGUACUUGUUCUGAACAAACUUAUAUUAUAUUCUUUCAAUGAUUGCUUCUUACGUGGCCUUCCCUCCAUCACUUGGUUAAUGGCAAUCAAGUAAGGUUACUCAAAAAUAUUAGUAAAAAGAGCCAGAGAACCCAGCCAUCCCCAAAUUAUUAAUUUGUAUAAAAGAUUUAAUUAAAAGAAUAUAAACUUCCUUAAAUUAAAAUAAUAAACAAAGUCAACAGCUAACCAAUCAUUAUCUGUAAUUAGGUAUUUAUUUUUUCUCAUCAACCAUUCUUUCUUUCUUAUCACCUAACAUGUGCAAAAAAACCUAGAAAUUAAUGUUAUUUUCUUGCUUAAAUCUUUUUUUUAUUUUGUCCCCUUUUUCUACAUUGUUUGUCUCAAAUGCCUUUUUAAAACCUAGAAAGAAACUCCAGAUUAACAAAUUUAUAAACCCAGAAAAAAACAAAUUUAUAAACCCAAAAAAAUGGUUGGGUUGAAGAUACUAACUUUGACAGCUUUACUUUUUACUAUAAAGAUAAUACCAGUUUUAGACUCUAGUGUUCCCAUGUCUUUAUCAUUUCUAGCUCAAGCAUCGAAGAGAUUGCAAGUCAAUAUCGUAGCAUUUGAUAUUUCCAACUUUGUCAAUUGAACGGAAGAAAGACCAAAGUGGAAGAUAUUAUUGAAAGUCAUUUAAGGUACACAAAUCUUAAAAAUAUUUUUAUAUUUACUUUUAUUUUAAAAUUUAAUAAUUUUAAGAUAUUUUUAUAAUUAGGACUAAAAUGAUAAAUCUUGUAAACAUUGAAGAAUAAAUUUGUUGAAAUUUUUAGAUUUAAGAUCAAAUUUAUAGAAAACAUAAAUAUUGGAGGGUUAAAUUUUUUAUUAGGCCAAUAAAAUAAGGCCCACAUUAGACUUCUAUUAAGUAACUAAUGAAAGAGUAACUAAAAUAUUUAAUUUCGAAAAGUUGAGUGAUUAAAACGAAAAAAAAUAAUAGUUGGAUAACCAAAAUAAAACAAACUAAACUUUAUUUUAUCCUUACAAUUAAUUUUUUUCAAAACUAAUUGACUAAUCCUCAUUUAAUUAGCAUAAAUAUAUAUUUUUGAAAUUAUAAAAAUAUAUUAUUUAAUGAAUUAAAAACUAUAUAAAACUCAUGUGCAAUAUAUGUGACAUUAGAACUAGCUAGUACAUUUCAACUCAUACGCUUCUUCAUUAAAUUAAUUAGAUUGGCUUGAUUUUUUUCUAAUAAUAUUGAUUUUGUUAAUAUUUUAUUUCGGAUAUCCUGGCAAAGUUGUAAUCUUCAAUAUGGUAACCUUCAAUGAAAUUGUAAGGUUUUUAUAUUGUAAUUAAGUCUUUAUUUAUUCUUUUUAAACUUAAGGGAUUGUAUCCUAUUGAGUGCAUGAGUAUUAUUGUUAAUGUAAGAGCAUGUGGGUUUAAGUGCAUUAAAAUGCAUUAUUUUCUUAUUUAUGGGUUCAAAAGACAUUAUUAGUAGUUCUAAGUGUUAUCUUAAAAAGAGCCAUCCUAACCUGUAAUGGAUUUGGAAGGUACUGUUAGUAGGUUUAAAUAUUAUUAUUAUUUUUUAGUUUGUAUUGAUAUUUAUCUUUCUUUCAUUAUUUCAUAAAAUAUUUAAUUAUUUAUUAUUAAAUAAUAUUGGGAAUCAGUACAUAAACUACUUGCCAUAUUAAAUAGGCACUAAAAGACCCUUUUAUUCCUUUUAAGUUUUGAUCCAGCUCAGUGUCGAAAUAGUUUGAGUCUAAUGUAGCCAUCGGAUAAAAAAGAAAAACUCAAACGUACUAAUAUUAAGAGAGAAAAAAUAAUAUAUAAUGGCAUAAAUUCAGAAACUGUAGAUUCGGUGAAUUAUCUUUUCAUGAAAAGAUCCUUUGUCAAGUCCAUGCCUGCAAUUUCAGCUUGUAGGAUUACCUCCACAAUGUUUGAUUAAUCCUCAAACAAUGCAGCUUAAGACAUUGUUUUGGGGCUGAAAAACUUCCCCACCAUCCCUGGAUUCAAUAUCUUUAUGGCUUCCUCAGAUUUAAGCCAACAAGGUGGCUUGUAUUGGGAAAUGGAAGCUCCCUUUGAUGUAUAGAAAUCCAUGAGUUCAUCAAAGCUUCCAUGUUUAACCACCCUUAGCUCUAAAGCUGAAAUUGCACCAUCUUUCCUAAAUAAUUUAUACGUAAAAUCAACGGAUUCUUCCACUAUACAGCAGCAUUGAUCCAUUACCCUGGCAUCAAGUUUUGGUAAAUCAUUGCUGCCUUUCAUCUUCAGCUCCCAAAAUAAUACAUAUCGACCCGGUGUCGACGAGGUUUCGGAAUAGCUACUGUAUGCAGUCAACAUGAUGCCAAAUGGUUCGAGGAUGAGUUUUGCAUUCGUGAUUGCUUUCGAAAGGUCUUCUUCAGUUGUUUUGUCUCCAUCUAUACUCAAAACCACAUUCUGUCGUUCUACAAAUUAAAACUGUGGAGAUUUACUAUAGAAUCCGGUCACCUUCAGAACAUCUCCGACCCUGUACCGAUAUAGACCUGAAAAAGAUGAUUACAACACAUUUAGGUGCGCAGAAGAGGUAGUCAAUGUGAGACUUUUAACUGUGUCUCUUGAUGUAACCGACGUAUAGCUUUGAUGCCGAGUAAAAGAAACCUACCUGCCAAAGUUGUGACAACAACUUCGGAGUAUUGACCAAGCUUCACAUUCUCAAGAUCGACCGGUUUGUCUAUAGUCCUAGUUUCUUGAGCCUUUCCUCCACCAUAUUUGUUCACAGGGAGAAAUUCGAAGUAGGCCGUAUUUGGGAGAAAGGUGUAAGAAACGUCAAAGGGAUUGCUUAGGGGUUUCAUAUUGAUCCCGAAACAAGCUUCCGAAGAAACAUAACUUGGUGAAACUAAAGGGAUCCCUCCUCCAUAAAGUUCAAAUAAUGGAAUAUAUUGGCUCAUGCUACCUGUACAGAUUGAACUAAUAUACUUGAUUUUAGGCCAAAGUUUCUUAAAGACCCCUUCCCAAGAUUUAUCUUCACAUAUUUGUUGAAUCAAAUCAGCCAAUUCAGGGUUUGGCCCAGUAAGGAUCAAUGACAUGGCAUUUUUGCAACCAGGGUCAAUAAUCCAAUCCCUGAGGUAACCUGUUCUAAUGUUACAACAUAAUUCUCUCCAAUAAUCUUCUAAGAACUUGAUGGUCCUUGCCAAAACCGAUGCAAAGAUCGAACCGAGCCGUACGACCUCAUAUCGCUGUAGUAAACCGGUAAGCAGUUGGAAGAACAUAAUUUGCUUGUUGUCCAAACAUAAGAUGGUCUCAAUAGGACUUAUGCAAAACUUAGCCAGGCUAUUUUUGAAGGUAUUGGUCUUGGAAUAGAAUGUUGAGUAGGUUGAUGCCACUAAUCCAGAUGGAGUUUUCAUAUCUGGUUUGCUAAAAUAUAGGUAGAAUGAUUUGCCUUCAUCUAAGUCACUAAAACAUCUACCAAGAGAAAGGAAAAAAACAGUAAUUAGUUUGUUUGAUUAUGUGUAUCGUGAUUGCGGAUAUGGUAGUAAUUGCUACGAAUAUUGAAGGGGACAAAAACACAUGAAGUAAAGAUCUUAGCAUCGAAUUACGAUUGCUAUUGAUACUUCACUGUAAUUACGGAUAAUGAAAUGUACUUACUUUUUCACCACAAUGUCAGCCAGAAGACGAUGAUACUUCCCUUCCUCAAAACUCUCAAUUGUGAUAGGUAUUAACUUCUGCUGCCCCCCAGAAGUACCAGCGCUGUAUCCAAAAUUAAUGGAUUAUUUUGAAAGGGAAAAAGGUUUAAUUUUGAAUUUCCUCCCUCUACUUCACAAAAAUCAGGUACUCUAUUUUAAUUUUCCAGAAUUUGAUUAUAUAUACCUUCGGAUGAACUGGGUGAUGAGAUCAGCAAAAAGGAUCGACGAGGUCUCUCCAUUGGCAAUCCGAUCUAUGUAAGGCUUGAUAUCUUCAUAAGUAACGAUGGGAACAUUUGUUUUGAAGCUUUGCUUGUCUGCUUGGUCACUGGAGAAGAAUCUGGAUAGAUAUUCUGUUCCUGCAUUUCUCUUUAAUUAGUAUCUCCUCCAACAUUUGUUCUUGUAGUUCAUGAGCAUUGUUGGUUAAAUGUUCCAAUAUUUUCAUGCCAUUUUCAUAUAUUUCCUUUAUUUCUAUAACAAUUUUUUUUGGGAAGGGUAUUUAGUCCUCAAUACUUACAUUCUAUCAAUUUGAUCAUCAAAUACAUAUAAUUAAAUAUAAAUUAUAUAUUAUGAAAAAAUAUAAAAUAUAAAAUUAUUUUUAUAUAUUUAUUUAUAUAAUAUUAUAUGUGUUUAUAUUUAAUUAUAAUUAUAAGGCUCAAAUAUGCAUUUAUCGCCUCUUUCAAACUUGGCAUCUCACAAGUUGGUAUUUAUAAUUUUUUUUUGUUUCAAGUUAGUACCCAAAUUUUCAAUUCGUUAAGGGUUUUGUUUUUUUUUUUUUUUGUAACAAUGUUAAAUAUAGGACAUAUGAUACUCUUAGGUCGUGACACGUGGCAUUGAUAUGUCAUAAUCUAUUUUGUUUAUAAUUUUUUAAAUUUAAAAGAAAAUAUAUAAAAUAUAUAUGAAUGUCUUAAAAUAUAAAAGAAAUUAUAAAUUAUAAAAAAUAUAUGUAUCUAAAAAAUAAAAAAUAUUACAACAAAAAAAAAUCUAAAAUUUAAGUUAGAAAAAUCGAAAACCUAGAAAAUUUACAUAUUUUUUCUUAAUAAAUUGCAAAGAAAUUAGAUGAAGAUAAAUUUUACAAUAAAUUUUAUGCUUAGAGAUGGGUUUAAAUUAUUAUACAGUUCUUCAAGUUGACAAGAAUGCAAAAGAUGAUAAUUUGAAAAAAGCUAAUAGGAUACUUUUUCAUUUUUAUAUUUUCUUCAAGUUAUCAAUGAAGCUGUUGAAUUCCUUUGACCCAUUCAUCAACCCUACACAAUUGCUUCUUUCGCUUCUAUUCCUCACUACAUUGAAAUCGCCACCAAUGAUCCAUGAACAAGCAAACGAAUUCUUUAAGGCUAAGAGAUUCGCCCAUAAUAUAUUUUGCUCCGAAAUUGUAUUAGGUGCAUAAACGUUAAUCAGCACUACUUCUAUUCCUUUAGCCAACCAUUUCCCUACUACUACUAUAAACCUUUCUUCACAGAGAUCUUUAUCCACUUGAAAAUUACCUCUAUCCCAAAUCGUAACCAUACCUCCGAACGCCUGUUAGCUACCGAAAAUCUAUAAUUAAAGUUAUUGUUAAUCCGUAUUUUCCUUAUUAUGUCAAUAGUAAUUGUUUUUUACUUUCAUUUCCUAAAUAAAGCACAUAUUCGCCUUAGCCUUGCAUAAAACUCUUCUAACAUAUGAUAUCUUAGCUUCCGAGCCCAUACCUCUAAUGUUCCAAGAUACGAUUCUCAUACCUACUCAUCCCACUACAAAGCUACUAAAAUGACCAAGAUGACCCAUACAAAAACCGCACCUGUUUAGAUUCUGUACAGCCUUUGAAUUCCUUCGUUCCCUUAUGCUACAGCCCUUCCAACCUUAAUAUUUCAUCUUCAAUUUCACGUUCGUCCCCUCUUAUGCUAAAUCCCAACUUUUUUUUCCAACAUCCCAAGCUUUCUUCGCUUCCCCGAGGAUCAAUUUUCUUCUAUUGUUGAUGUCUGAAUUGGAAAGAGAAGCAUUUACAACCGCCUCCUCUCUCUCUGAUGUUCCUUUCCCUUUUUCUCUCCUUAAUGCCCAAUCUCUUUUCUUUUUCUCCGUUACUAUGAGGAUACAAUCCUGAAUUUUACACAUGGAACAAUUUUUUCUAUUCCGUGUUUUUUUCUUCUUCUUUAUUUGAUUUGGUAAAUCCUCGCCUAAUUUUACCCUAUCUUCUCUAUUCUCUUCUCCCAAAUCCAUUUUCUCGAAUUGAUCAAUUGAAAGAUUUAAUUUUGGGCUCCCUUUCGCUUUCAAUGUGUGGGUCUCUGAAAGUCUAGACCUGUGUUCGCUCCAUUUACGCUUCGGAUUUCCUGCCCCCAGCCUUAUCCUGCAUGUUUAAAUUGAUAGCUACUUGUGUCACGGGGCUAGAUCUUUCGUCUCGUGAUUCGUGAGGCCUUAAGCUAUCCGUUCGUCCAAACUCGCCUAAGUCAACCUUUACUCAAGUAAUGAUUCUUUUAGAACUCCUCCAAGGCACCAAUUUAUAUAACAAAAGCAAACUAUGCCAAAAGAAGCCACAAAGAACAACCAAAAGCCACAGAAAAGAACGGACACAAGGUGUUUGAGUAAAUGCUCUCAGAAUUCUAUUACUCUUAAGAAUUCAAGUUACAUUGGAUAGAAUGAGUACAAAUGAGGGGAGUCUCUCUAUUUAUAGUUAAGCUCCCUAAAAAUCAACGGUUAAGAUUACAAUACAUAGACAAACGAGAUUCAUCCUAUCCUUUAAAUCAUGGGAUUUACAAGAUAUGCCAUAUCAAAUCUAAUCUAAUUUUUACAAGAUAGGAUUCCAUAUAUCUUCUAAGAUUAGUUACCAAAAUAGCCUAAGUUGUCAUAUAUUCAUUAUCGAGCCAACUAGGCUUCAAUCUGACAGGCCUCUCCAACAAUUUACCGAAUCGGGCCAGUUCUUGUAGGCCAAAUGAUCCCCAUUUACGCAAUAGACCUCCAUCGGAUACAUUUGGUGUGAUGGUCACGGGCUUUGAAUUACAGCCCAUGACACUAGGCCCAUAUUAAUAACAUCUUCUCUAACCUAAUAACAACAUCUAUUAUCUUCCUCCUCCCCCACAUUGUUGCUAGCCCCAAACCCAUACAAUUGUUCCUCUUCCCCAUUUGCUUCAUUUUCCCACGUUCUCUGACGUCCAUCAUCAUCAUUUUCUUUCUCGAGGAAUAUUACAUUAAUUACUUCGUCAACCCUAUUUAUUCUCCCCUCUGAUGAUUUUUUUAGCCUCGUUCUUAGCACCGAUCCCGACUUAACUACAGUCUCAUCCUCAUUUUCUUAUUUUGAUUCCAUCCUCACCCUUUCUCUCUCUCUACUUUUCCCUUCGGUAUCAUCAAGCGAUUCUGACAAUCCCAUCUCCUUCACUCUAAUUAAAAAUCUCACUUGCCCAACUUUAUUAAUCAUUAAUCUAGUUUACUAGUUAAUUAAUUUCAUUAACUAAAAGCAAGUGGAUUUUCGUGAAUUUUUACUAUUUCAAUUCAAUUUAAUGGUUAGAUAAGCAUUUAGGACUUUUAGAUUAUUGCUAACUAGGUCCUUAAGUACUUUCUAAAUUAAAACUCAACAACAUUGGACAUUUAUAAUUUUGUCCAUGAGCAGUAAUUAAUUAUUUUUCGGUUAAAUUUCUUAACCGAUCUUCAAUAUAUUUUCACAAUAACUUCUUUAAACUUUAUAUGUCAUCCUCACAGACUCGGUUUAUGCAAAUACGGUUUCAAAACUGCAUUUUUCGACAACACUUAAAAUUAGGUCGCUACAAUAAGAUACUAGCAAUCUAUUACAAUUCAACCCUUCAGUAAUAGCAACUAUAAAAUAGUAGAAGCAAUAUGCUAAUAAAGACCAAUGUAAAAUGACAGUUGGAGCUUCAUUCUUAAAAGAAGUAGUCAAAUCAAUCUCGAUCAAUUAUCCACAAUUCGAGGGGUUUAAUUGUUUGAUCUGAACAAAUCCAAUCUCCAAAACUAAUUACUUGAAAUGGAUUAGUCUUCAAAGUUGAGCUUUCGUACAUUCAAAAUAUCAGCACAAUUCAAAGUUCAAAUAUUUUGUUUCAAUAAAUUUCCAACUCAAAAUAUGACAAGUUAAUGAACUGUCACAGGGAUGAUAGAAGUGGCCACUUUGAUUGGCACUUAGCAGGACAAUUCAAAAACUUAAUAUAGAGACUAAAUUGGUUCUUUUUAAUAGUAUAGGAUUAAAUUGAUCUAUUUAAUAAUAAAAGAACUAAUUUGACCUAAUUCCCAUAAUACAAGAACCUCUAGAUACUUUAACCUAGUUUAAAUAAAAGAAAAUAAGAAUAAAUUAUAUUAGGAUGAUCCUAAAAUAUAUAGUUUUUAGACACCAAUAAUAAGAUGUCACAUCAUCAACAUUUAAAAGUGUAAAAGUUAUUAUACAUACAUCCAUAUUAAAUAUCUUCUUUAACUUAAUUUAACUUUAACUUAAUCACUUAACAAAUUAAAGAAUUAAUAAAUAAAGAAACAUGUUUUCUUCUUUUUUAACAUUAAAUCAUUUUAGUUUUUUUUUUUAAAAUUUAGUCUUCUUCUAUUUUUUUGCUUUCAAAUCACGUUUUAUUUUUAUGUAGUGAAUUUUUUUAUUCUUUUUCUAAUUCUAUUUUUAAAUUUUUAAUCAAAUUUCAGAAUUUGAUAAAACCACUAAUGGUGGAUAUAAUUUUUCAAAUUUUGAUUUUUUACUAGUAUAUUUUUUUCUAGAUUUUUAAUUGUUGAUUUUAGGUUUUUUUUUGAAUUUGUACUUACGAUGUUUAUCAGUUUUUAUUUUUAUUUUUAAUUAAUGAUUUAAGUAUUUUCAAAUAUUAUUUAUUUUUUGUUAUGUUUUUUCUAGCAUAUAGUUUCAACAUUUCCCCCAAUUUUUUAAUUAUUUUAAUUAAAGUUCAUUUAAAUUAGAGAUGAUAUCGUAUGUGAUAUUAGUUUUCAAAGUUAGUAAAACAUUGUCUUUUAUUUCCCUUAAAAGAUAUUAUAUUUAAAUAAAGUGAUGGUGCAUAAGUUUUACAUACAAUAAACAAAUUACAUCAUAAUGUUGAAUAAAAGCAGAUGAAGAAAAUGCAAAAACUUUUAAAUAAAUAUUAAAUUAAACUUAUAUAAAUUUAUUAAUAUUGGUAGAUUUGACAACUUUUUCAUUGUACUUAGUAAGUCCGACUUCGUAAUAAAUAAUGUAAAAGACUAUUACGUAGAACCAAAACAAACAAGUUAUCUAACUUGGAAAAUAAAAUCAACAAGUCAUCUGCACAUGCUGAGAAAUAAAUCUAAAAUCAGUAUGCAGUAAGGUGAGAAAACUCAAAGGAUGGUGCCUAUAGAUACAAGCUACUCAUAAAAGCAUUUGGAUCACACAAAACAAAAAACAGCUUUUACCAUACUAAACAAAAUGUCUUCUCCAAUUUCUACAAAUCUUGUUCCAUCUCAGCAUAGUAACACCUCCAAGGAAAAUCGUCAUUUGUCCAAAUUUAAACCUAGCUUUUGGGGGGACAUUUUCCUCUCUUCUCCUUCUCAAAUGGUAUAUUCGGGCGUAUGAUAAUCACUUUUAAUUUGUGUUUGUGUGACAUUAUUAUUUAGAUUUGAUGUAAGUGCUAAUAUGUAUUUCAUACAAAUGUAUUCUAAUUUUCAAAACUUUUUUCGUAAUUGAAGUACAUCUGUUCUCAUUUCAAUGUGUCGGAUACAUGCAUGUGAAUAAUUUAAAAUUAAUAUAAAGCUUUACAUUUGAAUAGCAAAUGGAUGCUGGAACUCAACAAGAGUACGAAGAAUUGAAGCAAGAAGUGAGGAGAAUGUUAGUGGCAAAUAUGGAUAAAUCGUCCCAAAAGUUGCAUAUAAUUGAUGCAGUCCAACGCUUAGGUGUGGCUUACCAUUUCGAGAAAGAGAUAGAAGAGGCCUUGGAAAUUAUAUACCAUCAUCAUUGCAAUCAUAUUGAGAUAGAUGGUGAUGAUCUUUACACUACUGCUGUUCGGUUUCGCCUGCUAAGAGAGCAUGGUUUCGAUGUUGAUUGUGGUAUGUCUUAGUUUUUUAAAAGCAAAUCUGGUAACAAAAAAGGUUAUGGAAUUUAAAUUGGUUUAAAUAUGUUAAAGGUUAUUGUAUUCUUUUAAAACCUAAAUUUUAGUCUCUAUAUUUUAAUUUUGAGACCUUAAAUCCCUGUUUUUUUAAAUUUAAAAAUCUUAGUACUUCCAUCUAUUUUUGUUGUGAAAGUUAACAGCGUCAAAAGUGAAAUAACCAUUUUUUAAUCCUAAAAAAUACUAUAAAUAUUGAGGGCUAAAAAUAUUAUUUUACCUUUGAUACUUUAAUGAAAAAAUUAGAUAGAAGCACCAAGAUUUUUAAAUAAAAAAAUUAAGGGAUUCAAUUUCUUAAAAUUAUAAUGCAUGGACUAAAUUUUAAAUUUCAAAAAAAUACAUAGACCUUUAGCAUAUUUAAACCAUUUAAAUUUUUAGACACGCUAGAUACCACAAUUUAAGGACCGUUGAAAAACCGAACCACACUAGUCUUUGGGACCUAUUGGUCUAAGAAUAUGUAGUUGGUUCAAUCCAGAAUUAUCAUGAUUUUCUAAUCAUAAAAAAUCAACAAGAAAAUUCUUAAAAUCUUUAAAAUUUCAAUAAAAAAGAGGUUAAAAUUCUUAAAAUCUUUAAAAUUUCAAUAAAAAAGAGGUUAAAACUUUCCAUAAGUCUCUAUACUCUUUAUAAAUUUAGAAUUUAGUCCCUAUACUUUUAUUUUCUAUGAAUUUAGUUCUUGUACUUUUCAAAUUUUAAAAUUUAAGUCCAAUUGUUAACAUUGUUAACUUUUUGUGGUUAAAUUUUUAAGUGUGACAUUUAACAAAAUAAUAAACUUCAAUUUAACAAAAAAAAACCUGACGUAGUAAAAUUUUAAUAAAAUAAUAAAAAUUUCUCACUCGGUAGUUAAGUAAAAAAAUGACGUAGUAAUAAACUUAAAUUUAACAAAAAGAAUUUUAAUAGUAUCAACAAUUGGACCUAAAAUAUUAAAAUAUAAAAAGUAGAGAAAUUAAAUUCUUAAAAAUAAAAUGAUAGAGACUAAAUUAGAGAUUCAUGAAAAGUAUAAGAACUUAUGACAUAUUUUAACCAAAAAAUUAAUAUAUGUGAUUAGAUUUUAACUUUCAACCUUUAAUUAAUUUUUAGUUUUGAAUAUAGUAUAAAGACAUGGCAGCUGUCUGACCACACUAUGGAGUUUUUUAAUUUACCCAUAGCGGACAGACGGGUCAAUUGUCCUUAAUCAAAUAUAUAUUUUAUUUAAUAUUUAUUAUAUUUAAUACUUAUUUUAUAUUAAAUUUUUUAAUAUAAUCAAUUGAUUUAACCAGUACGACGGAUUGAACUAUUUCAGUCCAAAAUUAGAGUACUCACCAUUUUAACUGAACUUGAUAUUUUAAAUAUUAAAUUGUAUGAACUAAGUGAACUAAGCAAACUAAACAUUAGAUUUUAAGUUACUGUAAUCUUGAACAAACCAAUUUUAUUAUUGAAUACAAAUUUGUAAAAUCCUUUUAAUAAAAUUAUAAUUGAAUUAAAAGGUGAUUACAUUUUGAAAUCCGAAUCCUUCCAUAAAUAUAUUUUAAAUUUACAAAGUGGAACUUAGAAAAUAACGUCUCAAAAUUGUUUGACGAUUAAGCAGCGACAUUUAACAAAUUCAAAGAUGAGAAUGGAAAUUUCAAAGAAUCUUUAAUUGGUGAUGUGAAAGGCAUGCUAGAAUUGUAUGAAGCUGCACACUUUCAACUACAUGGAGAAAAUAUAUUAGAAGAAGCCCUUUCCUUCACUACAUUUCAUCUGAAGUUGGCAGAAACUACAUUAGACUAUCCUCUCUCCACACAAAUUGCUAAUGUUCUAAAGCGACCCCUUCGCAAGAGCUUGCCGAGCUAUGAAUAAAACUCUUAUUCAUAGCCUAGCCAAUACACAUAUCUACUAAUAUAUAUAUAUAUAUCAUAAUUUCUUCUUCUUGUUUUAGGUGGUGGAAAGAUUUAGAUGUUGCGACCAAUUUUCCUUUUAUAAGGGAUAGAUUUGUGGAAUGUUAUUUUUGGAUGUUGGGUGUAUACUUUGAACCCCACUACGCGAUUGCUAGAACUUUUGUGACCAAAGUGAUAUGCCUCAUAUCAAUUUUGGAUGAUAUUUAUGAUGCAUAUGGCACAUAUGAAGAACUUGAAAUCUUUACAAAAGCAAUCCAAAGGUCGUAUAAAACAUAUAUCCACUUUUACUUCAAAUCAUUAGAAGUAAAUGCUUUUUAUUGAAUUGAAUAAUAGAGAGAAUUGACCAUUUGAAUGGAUGAUAUAUUGAUAUAUUGUAGGUGGGAUACCAACUGCAUUGAUCAACUUCCAGACUACAUGAAAUUGUGGUAUAGUGAAACCUUAAAGGUUUAUAAAGAUAUGGAAGAUUUGAUGUCCAAAGAAGGAAAAUCAUAUCGCGUCCAAGUCGCAAUAGAAGCAGUAUAUCUGAUUUUUACUCUCUUUUUUUCUUGAAAAAAAUUCUUAUUUUGGAAUGUUAAUCAGCUACAUUGGUUGGUUUUUGCUAACUUUUUGUUACUUUGUUUGUUAAUAGAUGAAACGACAAUCUCAAGUUUACUAUGUUGAGGCCAAAUGGUUGCAUGAAAAUUACAUACCAACAAUGGAGGAGUAUAUGCCGAUUGCAUUACUCUCUUGUGGUUAUUGGAAUCUUACGAUGUCAUCUUUUGUUGGCAUGGAAGAUAGCAUAACAAAAGAGACAUUCAAUUGGGCAUUUAAUGACCCUAAGAUUGUCAGAGCUUCAAGCACUAUCUGUAGGCUGAUGAGUGAUAUUGUUGACCACAAGGUACAAUAAAUUAUUUGUUUAUUUUUAUUAUCUGACACAGCUCUACAUUAGCUCAAAUUAAUUUAUGUUUAUUGUAGGUUGAGCGAGAGAGAGGACAUGUUUCCUCAGCAGUGGAGUGUUACAUGGAACAAUAUGGGGUGUCAAUGCAAGAGGCAUACGAUGAGUUAUACAAGCAAAUAAACAAUGCUUGGAAGGAUAUAAAUGAAGAGUUUUUGAAACCAACAGCAGCACCAACAUCGGCUCUUAAUCGAAUUCUAAACCUUGCAAGGGUCAUUGAUCUCCUUUACACGGGCGAAGAUGCUUAUACGCAAGUUGGGGAGUCAGCAAAAACUAGCAUCACUGCUUUGCUGAUAGAUUCAAUCCCAAUUUGAUCAAGAAUUUAAGGUUCAAAUGAACAUGAACUCACUUUUGAAAAGUGACAUUCAGAAGAUUAUUCUCUUAUCCUCAAGUUGUCAGCUCAUUUGCAAAAUAAAUAAUUACUUGUCAGUGUGUUGUUUUAUGCUGCUCUUCAAUCUCUUGGCAUGUGCUGGAGUUUUAGAGUUGUCUAGUGUCACUGGGAUUGUGUUUGUGUAUGCGUCCAUUGUCGUUGUCUUUUAGUGAUGGUCAUGUUGCUUUAAAUUCAAUUAGCUCUUGUUUAAUUGUGUAUUAUGUGUUGUCUCUUUUGUAUUAAUAAAACUUAAUGAAGGUUCAUUAUCAGAUUUAAUUCCCAAAUCCAAAACAAGAAAAGUGAGCUCCUUGUUUUAUUAUGUAUUGUCUCUUAGUUUUAUGGGAACUAUACUUUUUUUUUUGUUGGAUGAGAAGCUAGAUUUGUUUCUAUGGGAGGUGCACGUGAUGCUUACUUAAUCCUCUGUGCAAGGGCGAAACCAGGGGGCAAGCAUGGGCCCCGGCCCCCCUAAAAUAGGAAAUUUUCAUUUAGGCCCUUUAGAUUUUUUUAAAAUUUUAAAUUAGUAAAGGUAAAAUUGUACUUUGGCCCCCCCUAAAAUUAUAAAAAAAUUAAUUUAAUCCUUUAAAAAUUAUAAAUAUAUAGACUAUAAAAAUUAAAAUUUCAUUCGGCCCCCCAAAAAAAUUUUUCUGGCUUCGCUCCUGCCUCUGUGGUCUUGAAGGUUUUUUAUUUUAUUAAUAUUUUAGGUUGCUAUCCUAAGGUGUGUUUUCAGGUGUAAUUUUAUAAUAAUAUGGUUAACACGAUGCCGAGUGGUUCAAGGACAAGUUUUGCUUUCAUGAUUGCUUUCGAAAGGUCUUCUUCAGUUGUUUUGUCCAAAUCAAUACUCAAAACCACAUUUUGUCGUUCAACAAAUUGAAACUGUGGAGAUUUAUUAUAGAAUCCGGUCACCUUGAGAACAUAUCCGAUUCUGUACCGAUAUAGACCUG
Molecule: long non-coding RNA, 23576 nt
Filed under: Gossypium barbadense (sea-island cotton)
Lineage: Eukaryota; Viridiplantae; Streptophyta; Magnoliopsida; Malvales; Malvaceae
Description: long non-coding RNA (GBAR_LNC010924)
Source: RNAcentral